Non-coding RNA from Caenorhabditis elegans, 21 nucleotides. The record is from Ensembl. NCBI's taxonomy places the organism in Eukaryota, Metazoa, Nematoda, Chromadorea, Rhabditida, Rhabditidae.
UCAAGCAAGGUUACCGAAAUA